CAGUAGCCGCGGUAAUGCGUAGGUGGCAAGCGUUGUCCGGAAUUAUUGGGCGUAAAGCGCGCGCAGGCGGAUCAGUCAGUCUGUCUUAAAAGUUCGGGGCUUAACCCCGUGAUGGGAUGGAAACUGCUGAUCUAGAGUAUCGGAGAGGAAAGUGGAAUUCCUAGUGUAGCGGUGAAAUGCGUAGAUAUUAGGAAGAACACCAGUGGCGAAGGCGACUUUCUGGACGAAAACUGACGCUGAGGCGCGAAAGCCAGGGGAGCGAACGGGAUUAGAUACCCCGGUAGUCCCUGUCUCUUAUACA
Molecule: ribosomal RNA, 301 nt
Filed under: uncultured bacterium
Lineage: Bacteria
Description: partial 16S ribosomal RNA
Rfam family: Bacterial small subunit ribosomal RNA
Source: RNAcentral